Molecule: long non-coding RNA, 514 nt
Organism: Zerene cesonia (dogface butterfly)
Lineage: Eukaryota; Metazoa; Arthropoda; Insecta; Lepidoptera; Pieridae
Exons: 2
Source: RefSeq, a predicted model, not a curated record
AGGACGAGGUAGCUCUUGAGGUAACAGGAUACAACUCGUACACUUCACCAGAAGGCGAAAAGGUUGAGAUUAGAUACGUUGCUAACGAAAAUGGAUACCAACCACAGGGUUCGCAUUUACCCGUUGCCCCAGAACCUCUGCCAAUCCCAGACUACAUCGUUCGCUCCAUCGAAUACAUCAAGGCGCACCCAGCUCCAGUCGAGAAGAAACUCUAAGCUAACACCAACUGAUUUAUACGCCUAACAACCAGGAAGCCGAUAAAACCAUUUCUCACUAUAAGAAUGCUAUUGUCAUCUUUAUAUGCUGUUAUGUUACUGUUAAAUGUUUUUACUGUGGCCGCGGAUUUUAGGUUAUUUACUAACAAUUGUUAACACUGAGCGAGACACGGACAUUCUUAGAACUAUAUUAAUGUUGUACGCAACAACGUUUUGUAAGCUUUAAAAGUAAACAUUAAUAUUAGCUCUAAUAUGUUGUUUUUAAUUCUUAUAGUCUGAAAUAAAAUGUUGGAAAUUUA